CCAUUUCGUUGUUCUUUCGGUCAAUCACAACAAUCCGGAACCCCGGACACCAUAAAAUCGAAAUGUUUCAUAAUAAUCGGUGUGUGGCAAGGUGUCAAACCCGAGGCAGCAGCAGCACCACCGGUGCGUCGUAAGGGAUGCUUGAGUGGCUCCGCGGAGUCCGCCAAAACUAGCUUGUUUUCUGCCGCCUGUUCAUCGUGUGGCUCCAGCCAUUUUCUGCUAAGAGAGACAUUUCUCGCGCGUGUGACGUCAAACACGUAAUCAGUGUAGGCAUUCAAUGUGUC
Molecule: non-coding RNA, 284 nt
Organism: Caenorhabditis elegans
Lineage: Eukaryota; Metazoa; Nematoda; Chromadorea; Rhabditida; Rhabditidae
Source: Ensembl